AGUGAACGCUGGCGGUAGGCCUAACACAUGCAAGUCGAACGGCAGCACAGUAAGAGCUUGCUCUUACGGGUGGCGAGUGGCGGACGGGUGAGGAAUACAUCGGAAUCUACUUUUUCGUGGGGGAUAACGUAGGGAAACUUACGCUAAUACCGCAUACGACCUACGGGUGAAAGCAGGGGAUCUUCGGACCUUGCGCGAUUGAAUGAGCCGAUGUCGGAUUAGCUAGUUGGCGGGGUAAAGACCCACCAAGGCGACGAUCCGUAGCUGGUCUGAGAGGAUGAUCAGCCACACUGAAACUGAGACACGGUCCAGACUCCUACGGGAGGCAGCAGUGGGGAAUAUUGGACAAUGGGCGCAAGCCUGAUCCAGCCAUACCGCGUGGGUGAAGAAGGCCUUCGGGUUGUAAAGCCCUUUUGUUGGGAAAGAAAAGCAGCAGGUUAAUACCCCGCUGUUCUGACGGUACCCAAAGAAUAAGCACCGGCUAACUUCGUG
RNAcentral lists this ribosomal RNA (492 nucleotides) under uncultured bacterium. RNAcentral describes it as "partial 16S ribosomal RNA". It matches the Rfam family "Bacterial small subunit ribosomal RNA", at positions 29 to 507 of the family's 1533-position model. The record is from RNAcentral.